CACCAGCACGAUAUAGUUGAAGAGCAUCAGGUAGCCGAUGUACGCCAGCUGCGAGCAAACAGAACGUAGUGCUCGGCUGCCGAGGCCUGGGAGCCCUGGCCUCAGCACGGUGGCCACACAGCCAGACAGAACAAGAGGAGAAAUGGAGCCCGUGGAAGCUGCCUCAUGAGGCUCACCAACCCUACAAAGCUGUCGGCAGAACAAGGUCAGAGGCUUCUUCCCGCUGCUUGGAUGGUGCUUCUAUUACAGCCCACAGAGAAAACCAUGCAGGGCAAGAAAUGAACCUGAUUCCCGCGCCUGCAUUUGCAAGGAGACAAGCAAGGAGGCUUACCGUGUAGAACCAGAACUUGACGAUGGGUGCAUUGUAGAAUUCAUAGAUCUUUCUACCCAGGGGGAUGAGGCGGUGCCUGCUCUGAACUUCCUCUUCAUCCUUCUUCCUGGAAGACUCCCCAUUGCUCCGUCCCAGCAUUGCCUACGGCGGGAGAGAAGCGACAUCAUCACAGAAGGGCUCUGCCCUGCACAGCUCAGUAAUCCGUUCAAUGCAGGAGGAAUGGACCUCACUGAGCCUGAGCUCACAGAACCUGCCAAGAGCCUGAGCCCCAGCUCAGGCUCACAGCUUUCCUGAGGGUGAGAUUCCUUGGACACAUCACCCACGUCUUCCUCUGCCUGGGUGGAAGACCUUGGGGAUCCUGCUCCAUCAUGUUCUUCUCUUCCACCUUGGACCCUUUUGGGCAGGUGGGUGAUAGCAGAUGCACAAAAUUCUGAGAGGAAGAGUAGAUAGAGCCUGGGAAGGGUGCGAUAUAGGGACUGCCUGCCUGCUUCCCUGCCUGUACUGUAAGACAGGCUAGAUGAGGGUUCAGAUGCUGUCUCCAGCCAUGCUAUAGGCUGGGAGAUUGGGGCAGAGGUCCUCAGGUUUCAAAGGUCAUGAAUAUUCAAGAGGCAAGUUACUGGCAGUAGAUAGAGCUUGGGUUUUCAUUUCAAACCUUGCAAAAGUGGAAUUGCUACUGGGACUGGCGUACUGCCUUCCUGUAUAGCUGGUGGGCCUGCUGGGGGAGGCCCCAUCUCUAAGCUGCUGGAGAUAUCCUUGAGAAUGCGAUGGCCCCUCAUCCACAUAGCAGUAGCAGCAGCAUCAACAACAAAGACUGAACAGUACAAGGAAGGCGGAACCUGACAAAAGGCACAUACAUGCUGUCCUGUCCGGGAAGCGAGCAGCAGGAGACCCCCCCAAAUGGCUGAAGAGUUUUAGGCUUUGGGGCAGUCAGGUGGGAGACUGAAUCCUACCUUGGAUGCUUAGAAUUUUGUGCUACCUUGGGUAGUUGUUUUAAUUACUCAGAGACUUACUUUCUUUAACUGGAAACUGAGAGAACCAGGGCCCCUGCUAUUGGGUUGAUCUACAAAUCCAUUAGCGUGUGGCCUUGCAACCUGCUCAGUAACUAUUAGCUGUCUUUUAAUACCCUGGGACCUUCCUGGACAAUGCAUUCUGAUGAAAUAGUCCAGUUGGAGCCUCUAGGAGGUAGCUCAGUAUGAAGGCACUGGCUUCAAUCCCAGCUAGUACUGUGGUGCCCCCAAAUGACCUUGACUUUGUCUGAAGGGAGAUGUAGUUUUUGUCUUUAGACCCUGGAAGGCAAGGCAUGUCACAUGCAAUAGUUCUUUGUUUAGAAAGAAAUCCAGCCCCAGAAGAUCUGAGACUGGACUGGCUUUGCCAUAAAAACCAACUGCAUGAUUCAGAGUGGGAGCCCUAGGUCACCUGGCAGCUGGGAUAUUACCCAGGCCAUUAGCCAGUCACCCACCCACACUUAUGCCAUGGAGCCCCAGUAAAUCUUCGGGCGUGAAGCUCAGGCAGACUUUUCUGGUUGGCAAUACUUUAUGAAAGCUUCACACACCGGAGAGUAAUGAAUCUUGAGUGCAGAGUAAGAAGAUUCCAGAGAUGACGCAUUUGGAAAUAUUCUGGAUUUAAACCUGUGUGUGUCUUCCCAUGAGUGACUUCACUCUGUAUCGUUUUCCUGUAAACAAACUGUAACUGUGCAAGAAAGAGACCAUAACAGUACAACUUUUGGCUUCAGUUCCUUAAUAGUGUCCUAAGACAAGGUUAGUUCUAUGACACUGGAAAAUGAGAAUUUUAUUAAAUGUGGAUAAGAAACUGCUCAAGACUGAAGUACACCUAGGCAAAAAUCCUGUCCUACAGAGCACGUGAGUUUAAAGUGGAGAGAUCUAAUGACAGUGACAAUUUAGAUUGGCUUGUCUUGAAAUUGAAAAGAGAGAUAGCUGCUGAUUUCAGUGUAUCCCAGUCCUGGUCUUAGUUUUGCUACUUUGAUGGUUGCUUUAAGUAAUGAUUUCGCUCAGAUAUGUGCCAUUCACAAAUGAUUCAUCAAAUCAACAGGUUUUCUGGAGAAGGUAACUUCUGUUCUUUUGUGGAUUCUCUAACUAGAAUAGUUCCGUGAAUUAAUGAAUAGAUAUGAUUUGGUUCCAAAGUUUAUCUAAGUGUUUCUUUUCAUCAGCAGACUGAGUUAUUCUUCACAGUGGAUACAGCACACUAGAACUCAGUGUGAGACUUCGGAUCACUGAUCUCAAGAAACUCUGAAGAUUUUUGAGACAGGUUCUCACCGUGCAGUCCAGGCUGCUCUUGUCUUGAACUCACUCUGCAGCACAGGCUGGCCUCGAACUUAUAAUCCUUCUGCCUCAACAUCCUGAGUGCUGGGAUUGUAGGGAUCACACUGCUUCCAUUCUGCUUAUUUCUGUGCUUGACAAAGCAGUGCCAUUCGGAAACACAAUGAGAUGGAUGUAAGGGCAGAUUCUGAGGCAUCCUGCAGAGUGGCAUCUUGGGGUAACCUUUAGGGACAAUGAAUUUCCUAGGCCUACAGCUGGGGCUCAGGACAUGUUGGGACUUUAUUAAACAAUGUGCAAGGUGAAAAAGCACUCACCUGGCCAUGCAGGCAAAGCACAAACAAGACCAUGGCAACACAUUUUACAUUAUUAUUCAAAUUAUUCCAAAACCUAUGUGUUGUCUUUGGGUGAUUUAAAUAAAGCAUUUUUGUCACUUUGUUAAUUCCAGCCUAAGCAGCUUCCCUUGCUGAUUUUAUUGAUUUCUUUUCUCUGUAGUCAUACAUUUCCUUUGACAUGCCUUAAAAUAGAAUUUAACAGGGUCAAGUACAAACAAGAUUGCGCAGUACGGACUUGAGAAUCGUUGUUGGGUGGACACAGGUGUCAAAGCGGAGAAAUAGCCUUUGAAAUAAGUUAUUUCAGAUUCUAGAAAUGGGGCAAACUGAGAUAGGGAUGCAUGUGUGGUUUGGAAGGGCCAGAGGAUGUCUCUUUGCAAGAGAAGAUAUGUUGGUUUAGCACAGAAGCUCAACGGUCAGCCCUGUGAAAGUGGCUCUCUCCAGCCUUAUCCAUGAUGAGGCUGCUGACCAGAGCCCAAGCAGCCACAGAGUUUUUCCAUCAGGUCAAAGAAAGCUCCUUUAUAGACCACUGUGGUCCCAGUCUGAGCCUGCAGGUCUCCAAACUGCCCUCCCUCACCCCACUCUGUCUGCUUGAGGAGACUAAGCCUAGCACUCUGGGUGUCUCCUACUCAGGUUCUCGGUGAGCAGUGCUGGCCUCUGUUCUCUAGCAAGUAGACUUUGCUCUCAGUCCACAGACUUGUGGACUCUCGAAAGAUCGCAUCCUCAAAGCUUUGCACAGAGCAGGGGCGGCCCCUCCCUUUGCUUCCUUCUUUGAGAUUCAGAGAACAUGCUGAUUCAGCUCCUGCUUGUCUGCCUAGGAUGGGUGGCUUCAUCGAGGUCAUGCUACAUGAGACUUAGAGGGCCUGGGCAUUGCUUUUGAAUUUUCCUUGCUAUUUGGUGAACCAAACCAGCUGAUCACUCUUGAGACUAGGAAGACAUUCUCUCUUAACUUUUGACUAAAGGAACAGCCAGUUGGGUCUGCAUGUCUAGGUUUGAAUCCCAGCUUCACAAUUCAUUAGCUGUGUAAAGGUGAUCCAUUUAACAUCUCUGAGUCCCCACCCUCCUCGCCUGUAACCUGUUAGUUAAUAUUAUUAACCUGUUAGUUAAUAAUUUACCUCUCUCAUGGGUUGAUAGGAGGAACCCCCGGCUAAGCAUAUGAAGUUUUAGCCCUGUUACAAUGUUAGUGAGAAUUUACUGCUGUUUAUAGGAUGUCAGGCACCAUUCUAAAGAGUUCACAUGUUUUCCUCUUAAUUCAUACGGCCGCCUGCCAGACUGGUGGACUUGUUCCCACACUCAAGGCUCUGACAUCACACAGAGACACACAGGAAGCCACACAGUUGAUGUGGCAGGGCACUGAUUCCAGACCACAUAACUCUUUCCCCUCUGCUAAAAUAUUUACUACAGAUUCAGUGUUCAUUCUUCUGUUUCUCCCUGGGUUGAAAAAUACCAUUUUCUAUCUGUACAGGGGUGUAGAGUCCAAGAUUUUGGAAGGAGUAUUUUUGUCUGUGGUACUGGUCACAUGAAGCUACAUCUCCAGUCCCUUUCUUAUAUUUUAUUUUGAGACAGAGUUUCACUAAAUUGUUGAACUCCUUGUGUUGGGCUCAGGUUCAUGGUCCUUGUGUCUGUCUUCAGAGCGCUGGGAUUAUAGGUGUGUGCCACCACCUAGCUCUGAAAGAUGUUUAGGGAAGUCGGCCCCUGCCCCUGCCGAUUUCCUGAGGAUCCUAAAACUGAAACAAAAGUUGGCUUUUCAUUCAGGGAGUCAGGAAAUGCGUCUGUAAAUAGCAGAGCGGCCUCAUGGAAGACAAUUGCUAACCUGGAAGAAGAAGUUUGCACAGUAGUUCCACUAGGCUCAUAAUGCAAAAAGCCUUUGUCACCUGAGCAAAACCAAUUUUCGUGGUCUCCUCUUACAGUUCCUUCUGGGUCAUGACAGCGGAUCAUUGGCGAGGGUGGUGGGGGAGGCUGAGGCCCGCUGGAAGUCCUUAUGGAGCCGUUGCGUGAUGUCUGCUAAGCUGUGAAGCCUUGUUUGUCCCUUGAAUAACACGGGGUAUUUUUAACCUUUGGAUACGAGCCAGUGGCAGUCAUGCUGCUCAGACAGGGGUGGCGGGAAGCUGUCCCAUGAGCAGCUGCCCCAUUCCCUCUGCAGAACAAAGCACCCAGGUCCUAUAAUUAUACCAGGAAGAGCUAAUAAAAGCCUUCCAUACAAACCCCAGAAUUCAGUUAGUGCUGUUAUUUGUGAGCCUGACCCCAAAGACAGACACAGGCUUAGCUUCUGAUCGGCAGAAUGUUCCAGCUCAGUAAAGCCUGCUGCUCCUGACUCUGGACUCCCUCAGUGUUUUGUGUGCAAAAACCGCCACACUGCCUGGCUGUUUCUAAAGCUUUGCUUGCCUGGAAAUUUUGGGGUUCUAUGCUUCUUUGAGAUUUAUUUUUUUCUUUUUUCCCUGUACCCCUAGCUGGCCAAAGGGCUUUACAGAAAAACUGUCAUGUUCUUUGUACAUAAAGAGGACACACUUGUGCACCUGGUUGCAGUUCUCAGUGUCCAGGAUUAAAUGUGAAGGCAGCCUGGGGACUGGCUGUUGUCCUGGCUCGCUGAACCCUUAGCCACAUGAAGGGGACGAGGGGGCGAGGGAGUCUUUGCAGUGAGAGCAACGCAUAGCUCGGCCUUACUG
This is a long non-coding RNA of Cavia porcellus (domestic guinea pig), 5602 nucleotides long. RefSeq lists it as uncharacterized. The transcript is spliced from 3 exons. The record is from RefSeq and is a predicted model, not a curated record. Lineage: Eukaryota; Metazoa; Chordata; Mammalia; Rodentia; Caviidae.